This 751-nucleotide unclassified non-coding RNA is filed under the name Hevea brasiliensis (rubber tree). The record is from RNAcentral. Lineage: Eukaryota; Viridiplantae; Streptophyta; Magnoliopsida; Malpighiales; Euphorbiaceae.
CUGGUGUCCUUUAUGCUCGGAAUUAUCCCAGUUUUCAUUGCAUGGAUAUAUUCAGAGUUCUUAGACUAUAAGAAAUCUUCAUCUUUUUCUAAAGUGCAUUCAGACAAUAAUCUGACUGAGUUGGAAAAGGAGACAAUCAAGGAAGAUGAUCGAGCUGUUUUGCUUGAAGGAGGUCUUACAAGAACAGCAUCCGCCAAAUUUUAUAGCUCAUCUAUCAAAUUGAACUUAAUCAGGUUUAUGACUAUGGAUGACUCCUUCUUGCUAGAAAAUCGAGCUACUUUGAGAGCAAUGUCUGAGUUUGGGAUGAUUAUGAUUUAUUUCUAUAUAUGUGACCGCACAAACUUGUUGGGAGACUCCACCAAGAAAUACGAUCGCGACCUUUUCCUCUUCCUCUACUCUCUCCUCAUUAUAGUAUCAGGAAUGACUUCAUUGAAGAGACACAAUGACAAAUCAGCAUUCUCUGGGAAAUCCAUACUUUACCUUAACCGGCAUCAAACUGAAGAGUGGAAAGGAUGGAUGCAGGUCCUAUUCUUAAUGUACCAUUACUUUGCUGCAACAGAAAUUUACAAUGCAAUACGUGUCUUUAUUGCUGCAUAUGUUUGGAUGACUGGAUUUGGCAAUUUCUCAUAUUAUUACAUUAAAAAGGAUUUUAGCCUUGCACGCUUUGCUCAGAUGAUGUGGCGGCUCAAUUUCUUUGUGGCAUUUUGCUGUAUCGUUCUUAACAAUGAUUAUAUGCUGUAUUACAUCUGCC